This 368-nucleotide RNase P RNA is filed under the name Muribaculaceae bacterium. Its description in RNAcentral is "RNase P RNA component class A". It matches the Rfam family "Bacterial RNase P class A". From Rfam's summary of the family: Ribonuclease P (RNase P) is a ubiquitous endoribonuclease, found in archaea, bacteria and eukarya as well as chloroplasts and mitochondria. Its best characterised activity is the generation of mature 5'-ends of tRNAs by cleaving the 5'-leader elements of precursor-tRNAs. Lineage: Bacteria; Pseudomonadati; Bacteroidota; Bacteroidia; Bacteroidales; Muribaculaceae. The record is from RNAcentral.
GCAGAAAUGUGGUCUGUCGCUUGUCAUCUUACGGUGGCAAGAGGAAAGUCCGGGCAACAUAGAGCAUCGCGUUUUCUAACGGAAAGCCGGCGGCGACGUCGGGGCGAUAUGUGACAGAAAAAAACCGCCGGCCUUCGGACCGGUAAGGGUGAAAAGGUGAGGUAAGAGCUCACCGGUCUCUCCGGCGACGGGGAGAGCCGCACAUCCCGCGAGUUGCAAGGCCAAAUAUACCGGCAGUUAAGGAUUGCUCGUCCAUUGCCGGGGGGUAGGCUGCUGAAGCUCUUGGGCAACCUUGCAGCUUAGAUAAAUGACAGACACCGUAACCUCGCGUUGCGGCACAUAACCCGGCUUAUAUCAUCUCUGCCUGC